UUAACUAUUAUAUAGUACUCAGACGACACUAACAUUCAGAGUUUGAAGGCCUCUGGCGGGCACGCGCCGCCUAUUAGACGCCGGCGGCCGGGGACCCGGCGGCCCGCCAAAGAAACGACAGUAACGAUAACAGUGGGUGGGAGAUCUACCCGGAAGGGCGAGAACUCUGUAAUGAUCCCUCCGCAGGUUCACCUACGGAGA
RNAcentral lists this unclassified non-coding RNA (201 nucleotides) under uncultured fungus. Its description in RNAcentral is "sequence contains ITS1". The record is from RNAcentral. Lineage: Eukaryota; Fungi.